RNAcentral lists this ribosomal RNA (205 nucleotides) under uncultured bacterium. RNAcentral's name for it is "partial 16S ribosomal RNA". It matches the Rfam family "Bacterial small subunit ribosomal RNA", at positions 28 to 226 of the family's 1533-position model. The record is from RNAcentral.
GACGAACGCUGGCGGCGCGCUUAACACAUGCAAGUCGAGCGAGAACCAGGGUCUUCGGCUCUGGGGACAGCGGCGAACGGGUGAGUAACACGUGAGUAAUCUGCCCUCGACACUGGGAUAGCCCGGGGAAACCCGAUUAAUACCGGAUAGCCUUUCGAGCUCUCGGGCUCGUCAGAAAGGAUGGCUUCGGCUCUCGGUUGAGGAU